UACGUAGGGAGCAAGCGUUGUCCGGAAUCAUUGGGCGUAAAGCGCGCGUAGGUGGCCUCAUAAGUCCGUUGUGAAAGUCAAAGGCUCAACCUUUGAAAGCCGAUGGAUACUGUGAGACUAGAGUUCGGAAGAGGCGAGUGGAAUUCCCGGUGUAGCGGUGAAAUGCGCAGAUAUCGGGAGGAACACCUAUGGCGAAGGCAGCUCGCUGGGACGUUACUGACGCUGAGACGCGAAAGCGUGGGGAGCAAACAGG
RNAcentral lists this ribosomal RNA (253 nucleotides) under uncultured bacterium. RNAcentral's name for it is "partial 16S ribosomal RNA". It matches the Rfam family "Bacterial small subunit ribosomal RNA", at positions 524 to 776 of the family's 1533-position model. The record is from RNAcentral.